RNAcentral lists this ribosomal RNA (637 nucleotides) under Stenotrophomonas sp. Ri1Pt_3875. RNAcentral describes it as "bacterial SSU rRNA". It matches the Rfam family "Bacterial small subunit ribosomal RNA", at positions 378 to 1007 of the family's 1533-position model. The record is from RNAcentral. Lineage: Bacteria; Pseudomonadati; Pseudomonadota; Gammaproteobacteria; Lysobacterales; Lysobacteraceae.
GCAGCCUGAUCAGCCAUACCGCGUGGGUGAAGAAGGCCUUCGGGUUGUAAAGCCCUUUUGUUGGGAAAGAAAAGCAGUCGAUUAAUACUCGGUUGUUCUGACGGUACCCAAAGAAUAAGCACCGGCUAACUUCGUGCCAGCAGCCGCGGUAAUACGAAGGGUGCAAGCGUUACUCGGAAUUACUGGGCGUAAAGCGUGCGUAGGUGGUUGUUUAAGUCUGUUGUGAAAGCCCUGGGCUCAACCUGGGAAUUGCAGUGGAUACUGGGCGACUAGAGUGUGGUAGAGGGUAGUGGAAUUCCCGGUGUAGCAGUGAAAUGCGUAGAGAUCGGGAGGAACAUCCAUGGCGAAGGCAGCUACCUGGACCAACACUGACACUGAGGCACGAAAGCGUGGGGAGCAAACAGGAUUAGAUACCCUGGUAGUCCACGCCCUAAACGAUGCGAACUGGAUGUUGGGUGCAAUUUGGCACGCAGUAUCGAAGCUAACGCGUUAAGUUCGCCGCCUGGGGAGUACGGUCGCAAGACUGAAACUCAAAGGAAUUGACGGGGGCCCGCACAAGCGGUGGAGUAUGUGGUUUAAUUCGAUGCAACGCGAAGAACCUUACCUGGUCUUGACAUGUCGAGAACUUUCCAGAGAU